RNAcentral lists this ribosomal RNA (433 nucleotides) under uncultured bacterium. RNAcentral describes it as "partial 16S ribosomal RNA". It matches the Rfam family "Bacterial small subunit ribosomal RNA", at positions 29 to 507 of the family's 1533-position model. The record is from RNAcentral.
AACGAACGCUGGCGGCAUGCCUAACACAUGCAAGUCGAACGAGACCUUCGGGUCUAGUGGCGCACGGGUGCGUAACGCGUGGGAACCUUCCCUUAUGUUCGGAAUAACUCCCCGAAAGGGGUGCUAAUACCGGAUAAUGUCUUCUGGCCAAAGAUUUAUCGCCUUUGGUUGGGACCGCGUUGGAUUCGCUAGUUGGUAGGGUAAAAGCCUACCAAGGCGACGAUCGAUAGCUGGUAUGAGAGGAUGAUCAGACACACUGGGACUGAGACACGGCCCAGACUGCUACGGGAGGGAGCAGUGGGGAAUAUAGGAAAAUGGGCGAAAGGAUGAUCCAGCAAUGCCGCGUGAGUGAUGAAGGCCUUAGGGUAGUAAAGCUCUUUUACACGGGAUGAUAAUGACAGUACCGGGAGAAUAAGCUACGGCUAACUCCGUG